This is a long non-coding RNA of Nematostella vectensis (starlet sea anemone), 2129 nucleotides long. RefSeq lists it as uncharacterized. NCBI's taxonomy places the organism in Eukaryota, Metazoa, Cnidaria, Anthozoa, Actiniaria, Edwardsiidae. The record is from RefSeq and is a predicted model, not a curated record. The transcript is spliced from 2 exons.
GCUUUUUUUUUUUCUCGAAAUGUAAUCUGAGACCGCGACCAGCCUAACCGAACUAUGUUUUUUUGCUCUCUCUUCGAUGUGUUUGCUCAUAUUUUGAAUCAAAUGAUAAAUCCCGUCACCCGUGUUUCUUGGCUGUGCAAAAGACCGAUCUUAUGGGAAACUCAAGCAAAACAAAGAGAGCGAGUCCGUAAAUGCUACAUGUUUGCGACAAAAAACAGCUUGUGUUCGGGCUCGAGACCUGUCAAAUCUUUUGCGUCAAAUCCAACAGUCAAUUUACACGGUAAAGCGACUCAAAUUUGCUUUACACAGCUGCCAAAAUCUUAGCCACAAAAGAAAGAUUUGUCUGACCACUAGAGCGCCAAAAGAGGAGAGUCUUUUGUUCGCUGAAUUAUUGUGGAUUUAAAGGGAUUUCUCUGCUACUGGAGCGGGGAAAACAGUCAAAGAAGGCAUUUGCCCGUAGGCCUUGAAACCGAUGUUAUAUUGGGAAGUUGGUUAAAAACAUGGAUAAAUUCUAUGGCGAAAACCGACCCCCCUAGCGCGAGCAAGCUUCGAAUAAUUGGACGGAAUAAUGGGAACCUGUGAGAAAAUAGCAGAUGAAGAGGCCCCGUGGAUCUAAUCAAGGCUGCGUUGUCAAGCAAACGAAUUACGCCGUUUUAAAGCACAGAUUUUCGUUUGUGCUUGGCUGUAAAUACAGCAAAUCCUCUGCCAUUUUUAACGACUGUCGGACAGAAUUGUCUUCAUAACAAUUGAGGAGUUGCACUUAUAUUUUGUUUUACUUCACUGGGAUUAUGGCAAACUUAUAAUUAGAAAAUAAAAAUUGCAUGACCCUUCAGAAAAAAAAUGAAUAUUUUCGCUAGCGCUAUUUGGACCCAAGCACUACUGUGAACCCAUGCACGCUGGCUUGUGUUCGUGAGAUCUCUAAACAAAAUCUUGAUUUAAAAAUAGGUACCAAGCGGACUUAGAUUUUCAAGAGAUAAAAAGAAAGACACAAAAGAUAACGUAAGAUAAGUAUGGAAUCCGGUAAUGAAUAUGACAUGGUCUCGCGUGCGGCCACUUCGUCCAGCCCAUCUAUUAAAUAUUCCACGAGCCCACUCGCGCCACAACUGCUUUAAUUAGUGCAUCCAUUUUCUUUAGUCCUAAACGACUUCAAUUGCCUGGAUUCUUCCCGUUCUUUAGAGGCGCACUAUAGGCCAGGCGCGGGUGAGCCCUCACAGGCAAACCUCAAUCUGUACAAAAGCACAGGUAAAAAUUGGCAUAUGGUUAUACAGCGAUAACUAGAGAUUGGUAUGAAUAAUAGAAAAGCAAUAGUAGAAUUGUAAACAAACUGUCCUUUAAAGACUGCACAGAGCUUGAUAAUUCGAGAAUCGCAUACUUAACUGUCACUAUUCAAAAAGAACUUCGCUAGAUAUAUUUUGUGUUGUUAAAUAAAAACGUGCCUACAAAUCAUGAAAUGUUAGCUCGGUUAUGUUAUCACAGGCAGCACUUGGAAAAUCCGUUUUUAUGCGCCGACUACGUGCUACACACAGCAGCAGCUCUAACUCUCCGUGCGCCAAGCAAAUCAUACUUAAACGCAUUGUGUGACAGAGUCACAGUAUCUGCGUUUGUUAUGGUACGCAAAAUAUAAAAGAAUGAAGUAUUGGGAAAAAAGUUGUUGUUUGUAGCAGGCGCGUACCCGUGGUGCGCAUGCGGUCACUCAACAUCCAUAGUCUCCUCCUUUUCAGCCGUCCGCGUUUGUCGGUCAGGAAACGGAGCGCUUUCGCGACUGACAAACGCGGACGGCUGCAAGGGAGACCCAGGCACGUCCAAGCAUUAGCAGCUAAAGCGUUUCUGUGAAGUUUCAGCGGAAAUAGAAACCGGAGCUACGGAAGUUAAAAGAGAAGGAAACAUUGCAUCAGAAAAAUGCGGGCAACAGUUUCUUCCCGCUCUUCGUCCCCAUUCUCCGCGCAGCCAUACUCUUCGCUUCUGUAUUUCCGGCUGAACAACAGGCUAGACAAAACACGAUACGUGGUGACAAAACACGAUACGUUGUGACAAAACGCGAUACGUUGUGACUCUUUAGUUUGUAGUAAACUAUGGAGUUAAAGUGAGCCCUUCCUCUCUACUAUGAAAUAAAAUCUUAAAAAUAUCAA